This 492-nucleotide ribosomal RNA is filed under the name uncultured bacterium. RNAcentral describes it as "partial 16S ribosomal RNA". It matches the Rfam family "Bacterial small subunit ribosomal RNA", at positions 29 to 507 of the family's 1533-position model. The record is from RNAcentral.
AGUGAACACUGGCGGUAGGCCUAACACAUGCAAGUCGAACGGCAGCACAGUAAGGGCUUGCUCUUACGGGUGGCGAGUGGCGGACGGGUGAGGAAUACAUCGGAAUCUACUUUUUCGUGGGGGAUAACGUAGGGAAACUUACGCUAAUACCGCAUACGACCUACGGGUGAAAGCAAGGGAUCUUCGGACCUUGCGCGAUUGAAUGAGCCGAUGUCGGAUUAGCUAGUUGGCGGGGUAAAGGCCCACCAAGGCGACGAUCCGUAGCUGGUCUGAGAGGAUGAUCAGCCACACUGGAACUGAGACACGGUCCAGACUCCUACGGGAGGCAGCAGUGGGGAAUAUUGGACAAUGGGCGCAAGCCUGAUCCAGCCAUACCGCGUGGGUGAAGAAGGCCUUCGGGUUGUAAAGCCCUUUUGUUGGGAAAGAAAAGCAGCAGGUUAAUACCCCGCUGUUCUGACGGUACCCAAAGAAUAAGCACCGGCUAACUUCGUG